Molecule: long non-coding RNA, 1410 nt
Filed under: Helianthus annuus (common sunflower)
Lineage: Eukaryota; Viridiplantae; Streptophyta; Magnoliopsida; Asterales; Asteraceae
Description: hypothetical non coding rna
Source: RNAcentral
UUAGGGUUUCAUAAUCAUGUCAAUAUAUAUACUAUACAUUAUAACACUUUUAUACACACUCAACAUAUAUAUACAAUUACUGUUUUUACCUUCACAGAGGGAAAGGUAGAUUUAUCAUAUUUGAAGAACGGGGAUAUGUAUGUCUACUGAAAUAACUGAUAAUCAAGUAUUCACUAACUCAUACAAACAUGUAUGUAUAUGGACCGAAACUAAUGAUCUACCUAAGUGUGACAAUUUUAUCUAAUAUAUUCAUAUUCACUUAUCAAAGCUAAGUCAGGUAUCAGACUGCCAAUGUUGGCUGAGAGUCAUAAAGCAAGGAGAUAAAGAAUGGCACAGUAUAACACAACAGCAAUACCCUUGGUUUAAAAAGUGUGAGGUGCUCCAAGGCGUUCAAGUCUCGAAAGCCAAGAUGCGAGGCAAGAGCUUCACGUACACGAGGCACUAGGUAUUCAUAUAAAAUUUAUAGUUUAAAGAUAAUACGUACUACAUUGUUAAAAUCUUCAAGCACCCACAAUGUAGAUGACCAAAAAAAAUACAUACAAUUUGAUAUACAAAGAAACUCUAUGUGCAAUCAAACAAGCUAUAUGUAGAACUGAAGUAGCUCAAGAAAACAAAUACACAGUAAAAAAGCUUCAUGUACAACCUAAAAGACUUUAUGUAUAAAUCUAAGAAGCCUUAUUUGAACUGAAACCUAAGACGCAACAAUUUAGAAAAGUAUAUGUGCAACCUAUAAAGGCUGAAAAAAACAGUAAGAAACAAAUUUAACAAAAAAAAAAUAAGGAGAGUCAGAAAAUGGGCUAUUACUUGAUAAUAUAUAUAUAUAAAUAUAUAUGCCUGUAACACAUUAACAGGGCCUCACCUCCUACCCCUUUAUUUAAACUUAGAGCACUAAAUCAUAGUUGUCGAUAGCGAAUAGCGACAAAUAGCGACAAGGCACCUAUAGGCUACGUAGCGAAUAGCGACAAAUAGCGACGGCUAUUUUAUAAAUAGCGAUUACACUAGAAAAAGAAUUUUGAAAAUUUUUACAUGUAUAUUACAUCAAAAUACCCUUGUAUAUAUGCUAUUUUAUAUGUAUAUUUAACAAAAACUAAUAGUUAGCAGCAAAAGUUUAGGACUUAUAUGUUGGAAGUUUUGGGUGUGUGAAUGAAAGUCAAAAAAGGUGGUAAAUACUUUGUCCCACAUUGGUGUGUGAACAAAGUGAGUAGUUGCUUAUAAGGUAAAGUAUUUACUACUCCAUUGUAGCUUUAUGACAUGUUUUACCACAAGUCCUACCCGCGCGUAGGGGGGUGCAAAAAAUGAGUUUCUGAUCUGGAAUUUAAUUGAACUCGUGCGUGCCCGCUCCGAAAACCCGGGCCUGCUUUGCACCAUUAACCUUCGUUUUUGUAUUAAAAAAUGCUGCAACAUCAAAUC